CAGAACCCCUAUGAAUGAAGGUGAUCACAUGACCACUUCAGUACCCGUCCUGUCCUUCUGUGGAACGACCACCUUAAUGUGGUUCAGGAGUUUGAUUAGCCCUAUGAUGCUGGGGGCUUUUCUGUCCACAGCUUUGCCCUUUGGAUGAUCUCAAUGAUAGUAGAGCACAGUGGUUGGUAAACCUUAGAGAGAUUAACCAGCCCUGGAUCCAGAGAUAGUGGGGACUUUGCCAGUGGGAACCUGGAGGUUCCAUAAUUUCCUGGAAUUUGGCCUGACUUGGGUCAGAAACUAUAGGAAGCCUCUUCAAGGAAGAAAGAUCAAAUCGGGCAGAGUAUGAGCUGGGUGGCAAGCAGGGCCCUCUACUUUAGCUUCUGGAGAAUGGAUUCUUUCUUACCUUCUCUGUAAAUCUAUAACUUUUCACUAAAUCACAAAACAUCUUUUAUUUGAUACUGUCAGCUAUCUCCUUCAGGAUGGUGUCAGUUUAAAAGCAUUGCAUGAUUAGUGGAGUGUAUUAUCACCAAAUUUGCUCCUGUAUACAAUACAAAAGUUUUAAAAAGUCUCAUAGAUUUCAACAAUAAACUGACUAAAACGAAAAGGAAAGUGCUAAGUACACAGAAGUGCAAUGUAAUAAAAUCUCCUUAACACCCAGUAGCUUGCUGCAGCUACAAAUACAGGUCAAAGGAGACACAAUCACAUGGUUAAAGUGUGUGAUAAAAGUAAAUUCAUGACAUGCUGAUGACACACCAGCUUCAGGAACUCUGUCCUCUUCAGACCUUAUAAGGAGAUUAUUCCUUGGAGUCGCUAUCAGACAGACUGACUGACAUGCUGACGGCUCACAGAGAGGAUGUCGGGUAGAUGAGACGUUCAGUCAACACAAAUCAUCCGGCGCUUGGCUCCCUCUCAGAAAGAUGGGCUGACAGUGAGGGAGGAACGAAGACCUGAGGUUUUCUGUCUGGACCAAAAAACGCAGAGUUUGACCUUAUAAGAUUGAUCUAAUGUGGCUACUAAUCUUCAUGCUGAAGAUUAGCUUGCAGAAGAUGACCAUCCUUCCCCUCCAGCCACUGUGAGGGCCGAGUUUGUGUCUGCUGGCAGUGCGGUCCUCCCACUCUGUCUCAACCUGGGCUUUAAUCCACCCAGCCAGGCCUCAGAAAGUCCUCCCAGCUGCUUACCCAGAGAGGGCGUGAACUUCCCAAUGGCAUCUGGACAGAAUAACAGCUUAUUAAAUAACUUAAUGAUUGUUCUGCUCCUGUUCAGUAGAUUUGUUCCCACAACAUUUAUAUUGUCACUGUUGUACAAUCCAUAGUUAGUGUAAAAAUCUAUCUGUAGUUUACUUUUCUGCCCUCUUGAUCAGAAAGUGUAGCUGUGUGUGGAGACGUCUACUGCCAUACUCAUGCACUUUUUAACAUAUGAUUUCAUUUAGGAACUAAUACAAGAGUCAUUCUUCCAUGCAAACAAAGAACAUACAUCUAUUUAUUUGUUUCACGUGCAACUUUUCAAAUUUGUUUGGAUUUUUUUUAGAUUUUAACCAUAAUCCAAUUUCUUCACUCUUUUGCUGCACUGCAAGAUCUCACUUUUGGCAUGCCACACCCAUUCCCCCUGAGUCCCUGGUAGGAAAUAAUUUUGGUUUCUACUUGUGGGGGUGUCCCUUUAAUAUUGUGCUGCUUGGAUGCCAAGUACAGUAACUAUGUGUGAGCAGCUCCCUCUUCUGGAUUACCAGGAUAUUAUACUGAUUUUACACCAAUUCUUUUUCUUGUACAGAUUAAAC
Long non-coding RNA from Xiphophorus hellerii (green swordtail), 1765 nucleotides. RefSeq lists it as uncharacterized. The record is from RefSeq and is a predicted model, not a curated record. The transcript is spliced from 3 exons. NCBI's taxonomy places the organism in Eukaryota, Metazoa, Chordata, Actinopteri, Cyprinodontiformes, Poeciliidae.